Prunus persica (peach) is the source of this 499-nucleotide long non-coding RNA. RefSeq lists it as uncharacterized. The record is from RefSeq and is a predicted model, not a curated record. The transcript has 3 exons. NCBI's taxonomy places the organism in Eukaryota, Viridiplantae, Streptophyta, Magnoliopsida, Rosales, Rosaceae.
UAUUUGAGGGAUGAGUAUAUUUAUCUUUGUAGGUCAUCUAAUAGAGUUUGAUCUAUAUUGUUUGCUCAUAGAACGUACUUCUAUACUGGUUAGGUAAAUGGAGAUGGAAGACAUUGGGGUUCGGGUUCGUGUAAGAGUGCAAAAGAGUAAGUUUUUGCAAGAUGUUAACCAUGUACGAGAGAGUCAAGAAGAGGCUGUGAGUAGAAGGAGGUUCUUUGCAGGCUAGACAAGUUUUUGCAAGAUGGUAGUAGUGUAUGAGAGAGUCAAGAGAAGGCUGUGAGUAGAAGACGGUUCUUUGCUGGCUAGACAAUGUUGAAUAUGGUUUUUAUUUUAUUUAUUUUUUCUGUUUUUGUUAGACCCUUUUUGUUCACUUAUUUUUCCUGACUAUUAUGCCCAAAGUAGUAAAAUUGACAGGACCCGCCCCGGAAUUUCCCGAAGACAGAAGCGGAUCCCGUCUUUAUUCCGACAUCAUCCCGAUGCCGGGCCCACCUACUAAGAA